UCUAACUCCCGACACUAGCUCGUAUGGGGAACAUUGUAUCUCCGAUGUGCCCGAUGCAUCUACGCCUUUGAUUUGGUUCAUCCUCCAUCGUGACCAUCCAAUCUAAACACAUGCUUGGCCUGGUCUACACGACUCGAGCUAGCUUCUUAUGUCAUCCAAUGGUUCAUCAAAAUCAAUGAUUUAAAAAAUAUUCGGUCCGCACGAAAUUGUCUGGUCUGACUAGAGAAUCGGUCCACCCAUACCGAUUCUGUCAAUAUAUAGGUAAUCGUUUAGGUUUACAAGAGAAUCGACGAUUUGCUACUAUAAAAUGGUAUAUUGCUACAGCAAAAAGGAUGUUUUCCUAUAGUAAAAACACUGAUUAACCGAUCCAAACCGAUUUUUGGCCGGUUCACUAUUUUUUCUACAUAUCCGAUUCAGAUUCGAACAGGUUUUUAUUAUUC
This 440-nucleotide long non-coding RNA is filed under the name Amborella trichopoda. Its description in RNAcentral is "long non-coding RNA (ATRI_LNC002047)". The record is from RNAcentral. Lineage: Eukaryota; Viridiplantae; Streptophyta; Magnoliopsida; Amborellales; Amborellaceae.